UACGAAGGGGGCUAGCGUUGCUCGGAAUCACUGGGCGUAAAGGGUGCGUAGGCGGGUCUUUAAGUCAGGGGUGAAAUCCCGGGGCUCAACCCCGGAACUGCCCUUGAAACUGGAGAGCUAGAAUCUUGGAGAGGCGAGUGGAAUUCCGAGUGUAGAGGUGAAAUUCGUAGAUAUUCGGAAGAACACCAGUGGCGAAGGCGAACUCGCUGGACAAGUAUUGACGCUGAGGUGCGAAAGCGUGGGGAGCAAACAGGGAUUAAGAA
This 263-nucleotide ribosomal RNA is filed under the name uncultured bacterium. Its description in RNAcentral is "partial 16S ribosomal RNA". It matches the Rfam family "Bacterial small subunit ribosomal RNA", at positions 524 to 784 of the family's 1533-position model. The record is from RNAcentral.